Molecule: RNase P RNA, 577 nt
Filed under: Spirosoma sp. KUDC1026
Lineage: Bacteria; Pseudomonadati; Bacteroidota; Cytophagia; Cytophagales; Cytophagaceae
Also listed under: 1 other name
Description: Bacterial RNase P class A
Rfam family: Bacterial RNase P class A
About the family: Ribonuclease P (RNase P) is a ubiquitous endoribonuclease, found in archaea, bacteria and eukarya as well as chloroplasts and mitochondria. Its best characterised activity is the generation of mature 5'-ends of tRNAs by cleaving the 5'-leader elements of precursor-tRNAs.
Source: Rfam by way of RNAcentral
AACGCAGACUGGCUUAUCGCGUCCGAUUUAUCGGGCGAGGAAAGUCCGGGCAGCACAGAGCACCUUACUUCCUAACGGGAAGGCGGACGGCUGGGAACGGCCGUUCGACAGACAGGGCAACAGAAAACAUACCGCCAUUUUUUUAAUGGCGAAUGAGCGAAUGAGUGAAUGAGUGAAUAGCCAUCCGGCGUAAUAAAAGUAUUCCGUCAUUUCUAUCAUUCCGAAUAAGGCGUAGUCAUUCGGAACGAUAAAAAAACUUGAACUACAGUGUAUUAAAUAAGCUUGCGCCAGCUAUUCACUCAUUCGCUCAUUCACUCAUUCACUCAUUGAACUUGGUAAGGGCGAACCGGUGGGGUAAGAGCCCACCGCCCGGCGGGUGACCGACGGGGCACGGCAACCCUUAGGGGCUGAAAGACCAAAUAAGCGUCGGACGCGCGGCUGCUCGUCGCCAGCGGUCUGCAAGGACCAACACCGACGCGGGUAGGUCGAACGAGGUGGUCGGUGACGGCCAUCCCAGAUAAAUGAUAAGCCAGCCAGCAAUGGUGGACAGAACCCGGCUUAUAGGUCUGAGUUGACU